Molecule: ribosomal RNA, 462 nt
Filed under: uncultured bacterium
Lineage: Bacteria
Description: partial 16S ribosomal RNA
Rfam family: Bacterial small subunit ribosomal RNA
Source: RNAcentral
GACGAACGUUGGCGGCGUGCUUAACACAUGCAAGUCGAGCGGAAAGGCCCUUCGGGGUACUCGAGCGGCGAACGGGUGAGUAACACGUGAGUAACCUGCCCCAGACUUUGGGAUAACCCUCGGAAACGGGGGCUAAUACCGGAUACGACACAGCUUCGCAUGGGGUCUGUGUGGAAAGUUUUUCGGUUUGGGAUGGGCUCGCGGCCUAUCAGCUUGUUGGUGGGGUGAUGGCCUACCAAGGCGACGACGGGUAGCCGGCCUGAGAGGGCGACCGGCCACACUGGGACUGAGACACGGCCCAGACUCCUACGGGAGGCAGCAGUGGGGAAUAUUGCACAAUGGGCGGAAGCCUGAUGCAGCGACGCCGCGUGAGGGAUGACGGCCUUCGGGUUGUAAACCUCUUUCAGCAGGGACGAAGCGUAAGUGACGGUACCUGCAGAAGAAGCGCCGGCCAACUACGUG